GAUGAACGCUGGCGGCGUGCUUAACACAUGCAAGUCGAACGUGAAGACGUAGCAAUAUGUCUGAAAGUGGCGAACGGGUGAGUAACACGUGGGUGACCUGCCUCGGAGUGGGGGAUAACCAUGGGAAACUGUGGCUAAUACCGCAUGGGCUUGUUAGACUUGGCGUCUAACGAGUAAAGCUUUAGUGCUUCGAGAGGGGCCUGCGUCCGAUUAGGUAGUUGGUGAGGUAAGGCUCACCAAGCCGAUGAUCGGUAGCUGGUCUGAGAGGACGAUCAGCCACACGGGAACUGAGAACGGUCCCGACUCCUACGGGGGCAGCAGUGGGGAAUCUUGCGCAAUGGACGAAAGUCUGACGCAGCAACGCCGCGUGGGUGAUGAAGGUCUUCGG
This 388-nucleotide ribosomal RNA is filed under the name uncultured bacterium. RNAcentral's name for it is "bacterial SSU rRNA". It matches the Rfam family "Bacterial small subunit ribosomal RNA", at positions 28 to 421 of the family's 1533-position model. The record is from RNAcentral.